CACGUAGUUAGCCGUGGCUUAUUCCUCGGGUACCGUCAUUUGUUCGUCCCCAAGAAAAGAAGUUUACAACCCGAAAGCCUUCUUCCUUCACGCGGCGUUGCUGGGUCAGGCUUGCGCCCAUUGCCCAAUAUUCCCCACUGCUGCCUCCCGUAGGAGUCUGGGCCGUGUCUCAGUCCCAAUGUGGCCGGCCAACCUCUCAGUCCGGCUACUGAUCGUCGCCUUGGUGGGCCGUUACCCCGCCAACCAGCUAAUCAGACGCGAGGCCAUCUCAGAGCGAUAAAUCUUUGGCAGCCAGAGCCAUGCGGCUCAGCUGCAUCAUGCGGUAUUAGCGGCUGUUUCCAACCGUUAUUCCCCACUCCGAGGCAGGUUCCUCACGCGUUACUCACCCGUCCGCCACUUUCCUCAGUUUCAUUUGGACGAAUCCUCAAUCCACUGAUUCUCGUUCGACUUGCAUGUGUUAAGCACGCCGCAGCGUUCAUCCUGAGCCAGGACUCAAACU
This 499-nucleotide ribosomal RNA is filed under the name uncultured Oscillibacter sp. RNAcentral's name for it is "partial 16S ribosomal RNA". Lineage: Bacteria; Bacillati; Bacillota; Clostridia; Eubacteriales; Oscillospiraceae. The record is from RNAcentral.